RNAcentral lists this ribosomal RNA (468 nucleotides) under uncultured bacterium. RNAcentral's name for it is "partial 16S ribosomal RNA". It matches the Rfam family "Bacterial small subunit ribosomal RNA", at positions 28 to 507 of the family's 1533-position model. The record is from RNAcentral.
GACGAACGCUGGCGGCGUGCUUAACACAUGCAAGUCGAACGGAAAGGCCCUGCUUUUGUGGGGUGCUCGAGUGGCGAACGGGUGAGUAACACGUGAGUAACCUGCCCUUGACUUUGGGAUAACUUCAGGAAACUGGGGCUACUACCGGAUAGGAGCUCCUGCUGCAUGGUGGGGGUUGGAACGUUUCGGCGGUUGGGGAUGGAGGCGCGGCUUAUCAGCUUGUUGGUGGGGUAGUGGCUUACCAAGGCAUUGCCGGGUAGCCGGCCUGAGAGGGUGACCGGGCACAUUGGGACUGAGAUACGGCCCAGACUGCUACGGGAGGCAGCAGUGGCGAAUAUUACACAAUGGGCGGAAGCCUGAUGCAGCAACGCCGCGUGCGGGAAGACGGCCUGCGGGUAGUAAACCGCUUUCGCUUGUGACGAAGCUGGAGUGACGGUAAUGGGUAAAGAAGCACCGGCUAACUACGUG